RNAcentral lists this ribosomal RNA (534 nucleotides) under uncultured bacterium. Its description in RNAcentral is "bacterial SSU rRNA". It matches the Rfam family "Bacterial small subunit ribosomal RNA", at positions 383 to 917 of the family's 1533-position model. The record is from RNAcentral.
CUGAACCAGCCAUGCCGCGUGCAGGAAGACGGUUCUAUGAAUUGUAAACUGCUUUUCUACAGGAAGAAACCACCUUAUGCGUAGGGUGUUGCCGGUACUGUAGGAAUAAGCAUCGGCUAACUCCGUGCCAGCAGCCGCGGUAAUACGGAGGAUGCAAGCGUUAUCCGGAUUCAUUGGGUUUAAAGGGUGCGUAGGCGGAAUAGUAAGUCAGUGGUGAAAUCCUGCGGCUCAACCGUAGAAUUGCCAUUGAAACUGUUAUUCUUGAAUGUAGUUGAGGUGGGCGGAAUGUGUAAUGUAGCGGUGAAAUGCAUAGAUAUUACACAGAACACCGAUUGCGAAGGCAGCUUACUAAGCUAUGAUUGACGCUGAUGCACGAAAGCGUGGGGAGCGAACAGGAUUAGAUACCCUGGUAGUCCACGCUGUAAACGAUGAUCACUCGUUGUUUGCGAUAUACCGUAAGCGACUGAGCGAAAGCAUUAAGUGAUCCACCUGGGGAGUACGUCGGCAACGAUGAAACUCAAAGGAAUGGACGGA